Molecule: ribosomal RNA, 491 nt
Filed under: uncultured bacterium
Lineage: Bacteria
Description: partial 16S ribosomal RNA
Rfam family: Bacterial small subunit ribosomal RNA
Source: RNAcentral
GUGAACGCUGGCGGUAGGCCUAACACAUGCCGGUCGAACGGCAGCACAGUAAGAGCUUGCUCUUACGGGUGGCGAGUGGCGGACGGGUGAGGAAUACAUCGGAAUCUACUUUUUCGUGGGGGAUAACGUAGGGAAACUUACGCUAAUACCGCAUACGACCUACGGGUGAAAGCAGGGGAUCUUCGGACCUUGCGCGAUUGAAUGAGCCGAUGUCGGAUUAGCUAGUUGGCGGGGUAAAGGCCCACCAAGGCGACGAUCCGCAGCUGGUCUGAGAGGAUGAUCAGCCACACUGGAACUGAGACACGGUCCAGACUCCUACGGGAGGCAGCAGUGGGGAAUAUUGGACAAUGGGCGCAAGCCUGAUCCAGCCAUACCGCGUGGGUGAAGAAGGCCUUCGGGUUGUAAAGCCCUUUUGUUGGGAAAGAAAAGCAGCAGGUUAAUACCCCGCUGUUCUGACGGUACCCAAAGAAUAAGCACCGGCUAACUUCGUG